This is a long non-coding RNA of Nyctereutes procyonoides (raccoon dog), 2576 nucleotides long. RefSeq lists it as uncharacterized. Lineage: Eukaryota; Metazoa; Chordata; Mammalia; Carnivora; Canidae. The record is from RefSeq and is a predicted model, not a curated record. The transcript has 6 exons.
CCUGCGUGGGUCGGGAACUCUGGGAUCAGGGGAACAAUCGUGAGGUUUUAAAGGCUGCCCUAUUCAGCCUCAACCACCAAGUCUUUCUGGUUCCUCAUGUUCCUCGUCCCUGAAGCCCCAGAUAGAACUCCUCUCCCCGGGGUCGCUGCAGGCAGCAGCGCAGCGUGAGCCACAGGCACGCCGCUGGGCUGCGCGAAGGCUGCAUUGGUAUCCGCGGACGUGCGUGCUCCAGGCUGUCUGUGCAGUGUGUGCGCAUCGGUGUGUCUGGAGGGGCCUCUGUGUGGGAGGAAGGGAGUGUGUACCCUGUGUGUAAGUUGGUGCUGACUCCGCCAGAACUUCUGGUCCCUCCUCCUCCCUCCCUGAUUGCAUCAUUAGUGCUAAUUGAGGGGCUUUCACACGCCAGUGCAUUAGCUGUUUGGAGUGAGCUCCCCCCUCCUGGGAGAGAUAAGCUCUGCCCCUCCCCAUCCCGGCCCUCCACUUCCCCGCAGCCCUGGAACUGUCCACCCAGAACCUCUCCCCUUCCUGGGCACCUUCCUGCCUCCCUCUGGUUCUGGACUAAGUAAUCCCUCUCCUCCCUGCAGUGUCAGAGAUUGGCUGGAGAGGAGUCAGGGAGGUGUCAGAAGGACCCCUCUCUGAGGGGUGUCAGGGAGGGGAGGUUAUCCUUGGUGGAGUGGGGGCCUGGAGAGCUCUGGCAUUCCUACAGAAUACAGAGUCACUGUGAUGAGAGAGGGGACAGGAAUCUCUGCCUGGUUCUUUUGGACAUGGAAGGACAGAGGAGAGGACUGAAUCUUUGAUAUCCAGCCUCCUAUCCCACUGAGUUCCAGGGGCUCGGCUCCUCUCUCCUGGUGAGGACUGGGGAUUCUGGGAGGAACAGAGUUGCCACCCAAGGGAGAAGAAUCAUCAUUUCAAAGAAUUGAAAAAGACACAAAAUACUGCUUCAAGCUUGAAGAUCUAUAGCCUGCCCACCCGAAGCCGCUGUGGCAGGGUCCCUGGAGACCCCGCAGGGCCAGUCCCUUCUCAGGCCAGUGUCCAGCUCUGAGCACUGAGUGCCACCUUCACAAGAGAGUCUUCCUCCAACUGUCACUCAAGGCCACAGCAGUCCUCAGAUCAGAAUAUCUGCUAGUGUGAAGGCUCAGUGCUGCAGACACACCACAUCUUCCUGCUCCUCCCUGUGCCUGCCACAUCCCUACCCAACCCGAAGGCUAACUGGGUUAGCAAUCCUUGGGAAGGAAGCAGAUGGUUUGGACCCCAAGAUGCUAGAUUUCUCUGGAAAUGUCUUUUAGGUCUCUCAGAAAGUAGCAGGUUACACACAACCCUCCUCCAAUGGAAGGUUGAACUCUAGAAGCUACUCACUCUCUGACAGAAGAGGGAAAAGCAACAGCUACUCUGUGGCCUUGUGUGGCCUUGUUUGGCUGCUGGGAAUCGUGCAUCCGGGCUGUGGGAAACUGUGAGUGCAGGUGUGAAGGCGGCUGCUUUGCCUGUCAGGAAGGCAGCCAGGUUCCUGGUCCAGAACUCCGGUUCCCUUCAAGUGACUGCUCAGUGGACUCAGACAGAAGUUAAACAUAUGGGCUCUGGUGUUGCACUGCCUGAGUCUGAAUACGCAUUCCGUCACUCACCAGCUGGGAAAGCUUGGGCAAGACACUGGACACCUUAUGUGUGAAGUAAGGAUAAUAACUCUAUUGAUGGCACAGGGCAUAAUGUUGUGAGGAUUAAACAAGGUAAUGCAGGAAUGCAUGUAAAGGACUUAGUGUAGCGCCUGGUACAGAGCACACAUCUGACAGGUGACAGCUCUUCUUAUUAUCGUAUCUUAUGAUCGCUCAUCUGCACCUGAAGGCAAUUCCAGAGAGACUGCUGAGGGAUGGUAGAAAAUGGGGGCAUUACUUUCCACAGGACUGGUUGGCAGGUGUCCUGGUUUGCCUGUCUACCACUAUGUAAUGCCUAUUCUGGCAUUUAACAUCAAGUUAGGUGUUCGGAUUUCCUACCAUCUCCCUCCCUCUUUCUUUUCUGCACUUAAUACUUAUGGAGAGCCUACUGUAGGGUGCCUGGGCGGCUCAGUUGGUUGAGCAUCUGGCUCUUGAUUUAGGCUCAGGUCAUAAUCUCACAGUUGUGGGAUCGAGCUCUCCCUCACCCCCAUCUCCACACUGAGCUUAGAGACUACUUAAGAUUCUCUCUCCCUCUUUCCCCCUUCUCCCCCUACCCAACUUGUGUGCAUGGUUUCUCUCUCUCUCUCUCUCUCUCUCAAAAAAAAAAAAAAAUCUAUUCUGGCCUGAUUCUGUGCUAGGCACUAAACAUACCAUAAUAGAUAAAGAGCAACAGGCUGAUGUCUGAUCUUUAUCAGACAUAAAGACAAGCAUGUAAACUGGACAAAGCAAUUCUGUACUUCAGGUACUGUGAUGGAAGGAUGUCCAGAUAUAGUGGAAUGUAAGAGAGCUGAGUUAGGAAAGCUUCAAAGCUGAGGGGUCUGAAGCCGGUUUUCAGGCAGAGGGGAUAUUUGAGCAAUGGCAUUGAGCUGAGAAAUACACCACAUUUUAUUAGGAAUAUCUUCCCAGUUUGGAGUUGAGGACUAGGAGCCUGAA